Molecule: ribosomal RNA, 467 nt
Filed under: uncultured bacterium
Lineage: Bacteria
Description: partial 16S ribosomal RNA
Rfam family: Bacterial small subunit ribosomal RNA
Source: RNAcentral
GACGAACGCUGGCGGCGUGCUUAACACAUGCAAGUCGAACGGAAAGGCCCUGCUUUUGUGGGGUGCUCGAGUGGCGAACGGGUGAGUAACACGUGAGUAACCUGCCCCUGACUUUGGGAUAACUUCAGGAAACUGGGGCUAAUACCGGAUAGGAGCUCCUGCUGCACGGUGGGGGUUGGAAAGUUUCGGCGGUUGAGGUUGGACUCGCGGCUUAUCAGCUUGUUGGUGGGGUAGUGGAUUACCAAGGAUUUGACGGGUAGCCGGCCUGAGAGGGCGACCGGGCACAGAGGGACAGGGGUGGGGCCCGUACUCAUACGGGAGGCAGCGGUGGGGACUAUAGCGCGAAGGGCGGAGGCCUGGUGCAGCGACGCCGCGUGCGGGAUGACGGCCUUCGGGUUGUAAACCGCUUUCGCCUGUGACGAAGCGUGAGUGACGGUAAUGAGUAAAGAAGCACCGGCUACUACGUG